RNAcentral lists this transfer RNA (70 nucleotides) under Dipodomys ordii (Ord's kangaroo rat). It matches the Rfam family "tRNA". From Rfam's summary of the family: Transfer RNA (tRNA) molecules are approximately 80 nucleotides in length. Their secondary structure includes four short double-helical elements and three loops (D, anti-codon, and T loops). The record is from Rfam by way of RNAcentral. Lineage: Eukaryota; Metazoa; Chordata; Mammalia; Rodentia; Heteromyidae.
GGGAAUGUGGCUUAGUGGUAAAGUGCUUGCCUAACAUGCAUGAAGAUCUGGGUUUGAUUCCUCAGUAUCA